RNAcentral lists this ribosomal RNA (1397 nucleotides) under uncultured Bacteroidota bacterium. RNAcentral's name for it is "bacterial SSU rRNA". It matches the Rfam family "Bacterial small subunit ribosomal RNA". The record is from RNAcentral. Lineage: Bacteria; Pseudomonadati; Bacteroidota.
GAACGCUGGCGGCGUGCUUAACACAUGCAAGUUGUGCGACGGUUAUCCAAAGUAGCAAUACGGAGGGUAAUACGGAGCAGCGGACGGGUGAGUACAACAUGAGAAGCUAUCCUGGAGUGGGGGACAACGUUUGGAAACGGACGCUGAUACCCCAUAGGCCUGAGGGUUAAAGCAGCAAUGCGCUGCAGGAGGUGCUCGUGUCCUAUCAGCUUGAUGGUGAGGUAACGGCUCACCAUGGCGAUGACGGGUAGCCGGCCUGAGAGGGUGACCGGCCACACUGGAACUGAGAUACGGUCCAGACUCCUACGGGAGGCAGCAGUGGGGAAUAUUGGGCAAUGGGAGAAAUCCUGACCCAGCAACGCCGCGUGAACGAAGAAGGCCCUUGGGUCGUAAAGUUCUUUUAUGUGGGAAGAAGGAAGUGACGGUACCACAUGAAUAAGCCCCGGCUAACUACGUGCCAGCAGCCGCGGUAAUACGUAGGGGGCGAGCGUUGUCCGGAAUUACUGGGCGUAAAGGGCACGCAGGCUGUGCCGUAAGUCAGCUGUUAAAGGAUGCGGCUUAACCGUGUUAUGCAGUUGAAACUGCGGUGCUGGAGUACCGAAGAAGGCAAGUGGAAUUCCCAGUGUAGCGGUGAAAUGCGUAGAUAUUGGGAAGAACACCGGUGGCGAAGGCGACUUGCUGGUCGGUAACUGACGCUGAGGUGCGAAAGCCAGGGGAGCAAACGGGAUUAGAUACCCCGGUAGUCCUGGCUGUAAACGAUGAAUGCUGGGUGUGCGAUAAGAUACUACGUGCCGUAGCUAACGCGAUAAGUAAUCCGCCUGGGGAGUACGGUCGCAACAGUGAAACUCAAAGGAAUUGACGGGGGCCCGCACAAGCGGAGGAACAUGUGGUUUAAUUCGAUGAUACGCGAGGAACCUUACCCGGGCUUGAAAUGUACCUGAAUAAUGUAGAAAUAUGUUAGCUUUAAGGAGCAGGUAUGUAGGUGCUGCAUGGUUGUCGUCAGCUCGUGCCGUGAGGUGUCGGCUUAAGUGCCAUAACGAGCGCAACCCACAUUGUUAGUUUCAGCAGGUCAAGCUGAGGACUCUGACAAGACUGCCAGCGUAAGCUGUGAGGAAGGUGUGGAUGACGUCAAAUCAGCACGGCCCUUACGUCCGGGGCGACACACGUGUUACAAUGGGUGGGACAGAGGGCUGCUACCGGGUGACCGGACGCUAAUCUCCAAAUCCACUCUCAGUUCGUAUUGUAGUCUGCAACUCGGCUACAUGAAGCUGGAUUCGCUAGUAAUCGCGCAUCAUCCAUGGCGCGGUGAAUACGUUCCCGGGCCUUGUACACACCGCCCGUCAAGCCAUGGGAGCCGGGGGUACCUGAAGUACGUCACCGUAAGGAUCGUCAUAGGG